Molecule: ribosomal RNA, 396 nt
Filed under: uncultured bacterium
Lineage: Bacteria
Description: bacterial SSU rRNA
Rfam family: Bacterial small subunit ribosomal RNA
Source: RNAcentral
AAUGAACGCUGGCGGCGCGCCUAAUACAUGCAAGUCGAGCGAGAAGACGUAGCAAUACGUUUGUAAAGCGGCGAACGGGUGAGGAAUACAUGGGUAACCUACCCUAGAGUGGGGAAUAACUAGCCGAAAGGUUAGCUAAUACCGCGUACGCUCCUUGGACUUCGGUUCAGGGAGGAAAGCGAUGCCGAGGGUAUCGCGCUCUUGGAUGGGCUCAUGUCCUAUCAGCUUGNGGUGAGGUAACGGCUCACCAAGGCUUCGACGGGUAGCUGGUCUGAGAGGACGAUCAGCCACACUGGCACUGCGACACGGGCCAGACUCCUACGGGAGGCAGCAGUAAGGAAUAUUGCGCAAUGGGCGAAAGCCUGACGCAGCGACGCCGCGUGGGGGAUGAAGGUC